Molecule: ribosomal RNA, 286 nt
Filed under: uncultured Eubacteriales bacterium
Lineage: Bacteria; Bacillati; Bacillota; Clostridia; Eubacteriales
Description: uncultured Clostridiales bacterium partial 16S ribosomal RNA
Rfam family: Bacterial small subunit ribosomal RNA
Source: RNAcentral
CAAGUCGAGCGGAGACAGAAGACUUCGGUUUUCUGUUUUAGCGGCGGACGGGUGAGUAACGCGUGAGCAAUCUGUCCCAGACAGGGGGAUAACACUUGGAAACAGGUGCUAAUACCGCAUAAGACCACGAGAUCACAUGGUUUCGGGGUAAAAGGAGCAAUCCGGUUUGGGGUGAGCUCGCGUCCGAUUAGCUAGUUGGUGAGGUAACGGCCCACCAAGGCGACGAUCGGUAGCCGACCUGAGAGGGUGAUCGGCCACAUUGGAACUGAGAAACGGUCCAAACUCC